RNAcentral lists this ribosomal RNA (542 nucleotides) under uncultured Penicillium. RNAcentral's name for it is "SSU rRNA". It matches the Rfam family "Eukaryotic small subunit ribosomal RNA", at positions 549 to 1098 of the family's 1831-position model. Lineage: Eukaryota; Fungi; Ascomycota; Eurotiomycetes; Eurotiales; Aspergillaceae. The record is from RNAcentral.
UGGAGGGCAAGUCUGGUGCCAGCAGCCGCGGUAAUUCCAGCUCCAAUAGCGUAUAUUAAAGUUGUUGCAGUUAAAAAGCUCGUAGUUGAACCUUGGGUCUGGCUGGCCGGUCCGCCUCACCGCGAGUACUGGUCCGGCUGGACCUUUCCUUCUGGGGAACCUCAUGGCCUUCACUGGCUGUGGGGGGAACCAGGACUUUUACUGUGAAAAAAUUAGAGUGUUCAAAGCAGGCCUUUGCUCGAAUACAUUAGCAUGGAAUAAUAGAAUAGGACGUGUGGUUCUAUUUUGUUGGUUUCUAGGACCGCCGUAAUGAUUAAUAGGGAUAGUCGGGGGCGUCAGUAUUCAGCUGUCAGAGGUGAAAUUCUUGGAUUUGCUGAAGACUAACUACUGCGAAAGCAUUCGCCAAGGAUGUUUUCAUUAAUCAGGGAACGAAAGUUAGGGGAUCGAAGACGAUCAGAUACCGUCGUAGUCUUAACCAUAAACUAUGCCGACUAGGGAUCGGACGGGAUUCUAUGAUGACCCGUUCGGCGCCUUACGGAAAC